RNAcentral lists this ribosomal RNA (253 nucleotides) under uncultured bacterium. Its description in RNAcentral is "partial 16S ribosomal RNA". It matches the Rfam family "Bacterial small subunit ribosomal RNA", at positions 524 to 776 of the family's 1533-position model. The record is from RNAcentral.
UACGUAGGCAGCGAGCGUUGUUCGGAAUCAUUGGGCGUAAAGAGCGUGUAGGCGGCCACUUAAGUCCUGCGUGAAAUCUUGCGGCUCAACCGCAAGCGGUCGUGGGAAACUGGGUGGCUAGAGUGCGGGAGAGGAGAGUGGAAUUCCUGGUGUAGCGGUGGAAUGCGCAGAUAUCAGGAAGAACACCCGUGGCGAAGGCGGCUCUCUGGAACGCAACUGACGCUGAGACGCGAAAGCGUGGGGAGCAAACAGG